Molecule: ribosomal RNA, 501 nt
Filed under: uncultured Desulfobulbus sp.
Lineage: Bacteria; Pseudomonadati; Thermodesulfobacteriota; Desulfobulbia; Desulfobulbales; Desulfobulbaceae
Description: bacterial SSU rRNA
Rfam family: Bacterial small subunit ribosomal RNA
Source: RNAcentral
CCAGCCCGCUCAGAAACUCAAAUGAAUUGACGGGGCCCGCACAAGCGGUGGAGUAUGUGGUUUAAUCGAUGCAACGCGAAGAACCUUACCUGGUCUUGACAUCCCGGAGACCCUUAGGAAACUAGGGGGUGCUUCCAUCUGGAAGAAUCUGGAGACAGGUGCUGCAUGGCUGUCGUCAGCUCGUGUCGUGAGAUGUUGGGUUAAGUCCCGCAACGAGCGCAACCCUUGCCUUUAGUUGCCAGCAGUUCGGCUGGGCACUCUAAAGGGACUGCCGGUGUUAAACCGGAGGAAGGUGGGAUGACGUCAAGUCCUCAUGGCCUUUAUGACCAGGGCUACACACGUACUACAAUGGCCGAUACAAAGGGCAGCGACACUGCGAGGUGAAGCCAAUCCCGUAAAAUCGGUCUCAGUCCGGAUUGGAGUCUGCAACUCGACUCCAUGAAGUUGGAAUCGCUAGUAAUCGUGGAUCAGCAUGCCACGGUGAAUACGUUCCCGGGCCUU